This 451-nucleotide ribosomal RNA is filed under the name uncultured bacterium. Its description in RNAcentral is "partial 16S ribosomal RNA". It matches the Rfam family "Bacterial small subunit ribosomal RNA", at positions 354 to 796 of the family's 1533-position model. The record is from RNAcentral.
GUGGGGAAUAUUGCGCAAUGGGGGAAACCCUGACGCAGCGACGCCGUGUGAGGGAAGAAGGCUUUCGGGUCGUAAACCUCUGUCAGAAAGGAAGAACCUCCCAAGUCCGAAUAGGGCUUGGGACUGACGGUACUUUCAAAGGAAGCACCGGCUAACUCCGUGCCAGCAGCCGCGGUAAUACGGAGGGUGCAAGCGUUAAUCGGAAUCACUGGUCGUAAAGCGACCGUAGGCCGCUUUGUAAGUCGUACGUGAAAGCCCUCGGCUCAACCGGGGAACUGCGUUGGUGACUGCGAGGCUUGCGUCCUGGAGAGGGUGGCGGAAAUCCGGGUGUAGGAGUGAAAUCCGUAGAUAUCCGGGGGAACACCGGUGGCGAAGGCGGCCACCUGGAGAGGUACUGACGCUGAGGCGCGAAAGCGUGGGGAGCAAACAGGAUUAGAUACCCGAGUAGUCC